GUGCUCACUUCGGCAGCACAUAUACUAAAAUUGGAAUGAUGCAGAGAUUAGAAUGGUCCCUGCACAAGGAUGAUAUGCAAAUAUCAUCAUGAAGCAGUCCGUAUUUUU
This 108-nucleotide small nuclear RNA is filed under the name Propithecus coquereli (Coquerel's sifaka). The record is from RNAcentral. Lineage: Eukaryota; Metazoa; Chordata; Mammalia; Primates; Indriidae.